RNAcentral lists this transfer RNA (91 nucleotides) under Actinomycetota bacterium. Its description in RNAcentral is "tRNA-Ser". It matches the Rfam family "tRNA". Rfam says of the family: Transfer RNA (tRNA) molecules are approximately 80 nucleotides in length. Their secondary structure includes four short double-helical elements and three loops (D, anti-codon, and T loops). RNAcentral also lists the same sequence under 1 other name. The record is from RNAcentral. Lineage: Bacteria; Bacillati; Actinomycetota.
GGAGAGGUGGCAGAGCGGUUGAAUGCGGCGGUCUCGAAAACCGUUAUACGUCUAUUCGGGCGUAUCGAGGGUUCGAAUCCCUCCCUCUCCG